RNAcentral lists this ribosomal RNA (471 nucleotides) under Veillonellaceae bacterium oral taxon 131. RNAcentral describes it as "bacterial SSU rRNA". It matches the Rfam family "Bacterial small subunit ribosomal RNA", at positions 28 to 484 of the family's 1533-position model. Lineage: Bacteria; Bacillati; Bacillota; Negativicutes; Veillonellales; Veillonellaceae. The record is from RNAcentral.
GACGAACGCUGGCGGCGUGCUUAACACAUGCAAGUCGAACGAGACGGAUUGGGAGCUUGCUCCUGACAAGUCGAGUGGCAAACGGGUGAGUAACGCGUAGACAACCUGCCGCAAAGAUGGGGACAACAGCCCGAAAGGGCUGCUAAUACCGAAUGUUGCGCCCCUCCCGCAUGGGAGGGGGGCCAAAGAUGGCCUCUGCCUGCAAGCCAUCGCUUUGCGAUGGGUCUGCGCCUGAUUAGCUGGUUGGCGGGGCAACGGCCCACCAAGGCGACGAUCAGUAGCCGGUCUGAGAGGAUGGACGGCCACAUUGGGACUGAGACACGGCCCAGACUCCUACGGGAGGCAGCAGUGGGGAAUCUUCCGCAAUGGGCGAAAGCCUGACGGAGCAACGCCGCGUGGGUGAAGAAGGUCUUCGGAUCGUAAAGCCCUGUUGUCCGGGACGAACGCCCCCGGCGCGAACAGCGCCGGGGG